GGAUUAGAUACCCUGGUAGUCCACGCCCUAAACGAUGCGAACUGGACGUUGGGUGCAAUUGAGCAUUCAGUGUCGAAGCUAACGCGUUAAGUUCGCCGCCUGGGGAGUACGGUCGCAAGACUGAAACUCAAAGGAAUUGACGGGGGCCCGCACAAGCGGUGGAGUAUGUGGUUUAAUUCGAUGCAACGCGAAGAACCUUACCUGGCCUUGACAUGUCGAGAAGUCUGCAGAGAUGCGGAUGUGCCUUCGGGAACUCGAACACAGGUGCUGCAUGGCUGUCGUCAGCUCGUGCCG
Molecule: ribosomal RNA, 294 nt
Filed under: uncultured bacterium
Lineage: Bacteria
Description: partial 16S ribosomal RNA
Rfam family: Bacterial small subunit ribosomal RNA
Source: RNAcentral